Daphnia pulex (common water flea) is the source of this 532-nucleotide long non-coding RNA. RefSeq lists it as uncharacterized. NCBI's taxonomy places the organism in Eukaryota, Metazoa, Arthropoda, Branchiopoda, Diplostraca, Daphniidae. The record is from RefSeq and is a predicted model, not a curated record. The transcript is spliced from 4 exons.
GGACAGUUUAAGGAGAGCUUGCACACUCGACGCCAGGGUUCACGAAGCAACUGAAGCGCAGCGACUCAUCAGGCAGCCGCUGAGCUUUUCUUAUCAGAUCGAGUCAGGUGACCGAGUUCAAAGACUGAACCCAACUAACUAACUGAGGAGCGGCGCGUACACUAUGGGAGCGGCCUGAUGAAGGUCGGCGAAAAUCACAUGGUACAGCGGACGAAUAUCAAAACAAGCUAUAUAGCUUUCUGUGAAUCAGUCGAAAAAGGAUGCGGCAUCAAGAGACCGGGAUCACUUCAAUCUAUUCCGUCUGUAAUGGAGAAUUAGAUUAUCGAGAGGACGAUUCUGUUCUCCACUUACCCGAAGCGAAAAUGACCAUGCAAGUGGUUUAAGAUGGAUUCUUGGAAUCCACCAGCUGCCGCACGUAACAGAUAUCACGCAAUCCGAAUUAUUUGUAAAAAUUGAGGAGGGAUUUUUUUAUUUGUGAUUGCCCGAAUACCUUGACGGGUAUCACUCACGAACAAAGUAAUUGUUUUUUUGU